CCCUUAGAUGUUCUGGGCCGCACGCGUGCUACACUGAUGCAUUCAACGAGUCUAAAACCUGGUCUGAUAGGGCUGGGUAAUCUUUUGAAAGUGCAUCGUGAUUGGGAUAGAUGAUUGCAAUUCUUCAUCUUCAACGAGGAAUGCCUAGUAAACGCAAGUCAUCAGCUUGCAUUGAUUACGUCCCUGCCCUUUGUACACACCGCCCGUCGCUCCUACUGAUUGAGUGUCUCGGUGAAUUCUUUGAUCUUCUGUCGAUUCAGUUCACUGAUCCGACGGUGGAAAGUUGAAUGAACUUCGUCACUUAGAGGAAGGAGAAGUCGUAACA
RNAcentral lists this ribosomal RNA (325 nucleotides) under uncultured eukaryote. RNAcentral's name for it is "partial 18S ribosomal RNA". It matches the Rfam family "Eukaryotic small subunit ribosomal RNA", at positions 1470 to 1796 of the family's 1831-position model. The record is from RNAcentral.